CAGCAGCCGCGGUAAUACGUAGGUCCCGAGCGUUGUCCGGAUUUAUUGGGCGUAAAGGGAGCGCAGGCGGUUUAGUAAGUCUGAAGUUAAAGGCAUUGGCUCAACCAAUGUAUGCUUUGGAAACUGUUAGACUUGAGUGCAGAAGGGGAGAGUGGAAUUCCAUGUGUAGCGGUGAAAUGCGUAGAUAUAUGGAGGAACACCGGUGGCGAAAGCGGCUCUCUGGUCUGUCACUGACGCUGAGGCUCGAAAGCGUGGGUAGCGAACAGGAUUAGAUACCCGAGUAGUCCCUGUCUCUUAUACA
This 301-nucleotide ribosomal RNA is filed under the name uncultured bacterium. Its description in RNAcentral is "partial 16S ribosomal RNA". It matches the Rfam family "Bacterial small subunit ribosomal RNA", at positions 509 to 808 of the family's 1533-position model. The record is from RNAcentral.